GCCUAACACAUGCAAGUCGAGGGGCAUCGGGAUUGAAGCUUGCUUCAAUUGCCGGCGACCGGCGCACGGGUGCGUAACGCGUAUGUAACCUACCUAUAACAGGGGCAUAACACUGAGAAAUUGGUACUAAUUCCCCAUAAUAUUCGGAGAGGCAUCUCUCCGGGUUGAAAACUCCGGUGGUUAUAGAUGGACAUGCGUUGUAUUAGCUAGUUGGUGAGGUAACGGCUCACCAAGGCAACGAUACAUAGGGGGACUGAGAGGUUAACCCCCCACACUGGUACUGAGACACGGACCAGACUCCUACGGGAGGCAGCAGUGAGGAAUAUUGGUCAAUGGACGCAAGUCUGAACCAGCCAUGCCGCGUGCAGGAAGACGGCUCUAUGAGUUGUAAACUGCUUUUGUACGAGGGUAAACUCACCUACGUGUAGGUGACUGAAAGUAUCGUACGAAUAAGGAUCGGCUAACUCCGUGCCAGCAGCCGCGGUAAUACGGAGGAUUCAAGCGUUAUCCGGAUUUAUUGGGUUUAAAGGGUGCGUAGGCGGUUUGAUAAGUUAGAGGUGAAAUCCCGGGGCUUAACUCCGGAACUGCCUCUAAUACUAUUAGACUAGAGAGUAGUUGCGGUAGGCGGAAUGUAUGGUGUAGCGGUGAAAUGCUUAGAGAUCAUACAGAACACCGAUUGCGAAGGCAGCUUACCAAA
This 697-nucleotide ribosomal RNA is filed under the name uncultured Bacteroidales bacterium. RNAcentral's name for it is "bacterial SSU rRNA". It matches the Rfam family "Bacterial small subunit ribosomal RNA", at positions 46 to 733 of the family's 1533-position model. The record is from RNAcentral. Lineage: Bacteria; Pseudomonadati; Bacteroidota; Bacteroidia; Bacteroidales.